This 407-nucleotide ribosomal RNA is filed under the name uncultured bacterium. RNAcentral's name for it is "partial 16S ribosomal RNA". It matches the Rfam family "Bacterial small subunit ribosomal RNA", at positions 30 to 526 of the family's 1533-position model. The record is from RNAcentral.
AUUGAACGCUGGCGGCAGGCCUAACACUUGCAAGUCGAGCGGAGCGGCAGCCGGGUGAAUAAUGUCUAGGAAUCUGCCUGGUAGUUGAGGAUAACGUCCGGAAACGGGCGCUAAUACCGCAUACUAUCAGAUGAGCCUCGGUCGGAUUAGCUAGGGGGUGGGGUAAAGGCCUACCAAGUCGACGAUCGGUAACUGGUCUGAGAGGAUGCACAGUCACACUGGAACUGAGAAACGGUCAAGACUCCUACGGGAGGCAGCAGUGGGGAAUAUUGGACAAUGGGCGAAAGCCUGAUCCAGCCAUGCCGCGUGUGUGAAGAAGGUCUUCGGAGUGUAAAGCACUUUAAGUUGGGAGGCGUUACCAACAGAAUAAGCACCGGCUAACUUCGUGCCAGCAGCCGCGGUAAUUC